This 253-nucleotide ribosomal RNA is filed under the name uncultured bacterium. RNAcentral's name for it is "partial 16S ribosomal RNA". It matches the Rfam family "Bacterial small subunit ribosomal RNA", at positions 524 to 776 of the family's 1533-position model. The record is from RNAcentral.
UACGUAGGUGGCAAGCGUUAUCCGGAUUUAUUGGGCGUAAAGGGAACGCAGGCGGUCUUUUAAGUCUGAUGUGAAAGCCUUCGGCUUAACCGGAGUAGUGCAUUGGAAACUGGGAGACUUGAGUGCAGAAGAGGAGAGUGGAACUCCAUGUGUAGCGGUGAAAUGCGUAGAUAUAUGGAAGAACACCAGUGGCGAAAGCGGCUCCCUGGCCUGUAACUGACACUGAGGCUCGAAAGCGUGGGGAGCAAACAGG